This 19-nucleotide non-coding RNA is filed under the name Arabidopsis thaliana (thale cress). Lineage: Eukaryota; Viridiplantae; Streptophyta; Magnoliopsida; Brassicales; Brassicaceae. The record is from RNAcentral.
CGGUCCGCCUUUGGUGUGC